Chinchilla lanigera (long-tailed chinchilla) is the source of this 1304-nucleotide long non-coding RNA. RefSeq lists it as uncharacterized. The record is from RefSeq and is a predicted model, not a curated record. NCBI's taxonomy places the organism in Eukaryota, Metazoa, Chordata, Mammalia, Rodentia, Chinchillidae. The transcript has 3 exons.
GGAAGUUACGCGUGGAGGCGGCACCUAGUGGCAGAGGGAGUCGUAGUGGGAGGGGCGCGGUGUUUGUGGUGAGCUGGGAGCCUUCGAUCCUCCGCAGUUUUUACAGAGCACUAAGAUCUAUGGAUUCCAACAUGGACUUCAUGUAAAGAAACCCACAGACCAUUAAUGGACAAAACCAUGAAUCAAUUUGUACUGUGGCAUGCAAAUCCUAGCACUUUGGGAGAGCAUCAAGUGCCGAGAUUUUGAAGACCAGCGUCACUGUGCAUUCAAGAGUUGAGUGAGAGUAACCUCAGCAAGACUUAGAUCCUCGUCAGAGGCUUCAAGUGUCAUCUUCCUUAAAGUUCUCCACUGAACUCUCUCACAAAGCAAAAGCCGAAAGAGAAUAAAAUCCAAGAAUACAGUUUUUAGUAGCCCUUCCUCUAACUUCCCUUCAAUUUUCUUGGCCACUAGGGACCUUCCUAUCGCUUAUGUUUCUUUAGACAGGAACUAAAGAAACGUAUGUUCUGUGGCCGUCAGUUUUGUUUUGGUUUGGUUUUUCUCCGGUACCGGGAACCGAACUCACGACCUUGCGCUUGCCAGGCAGGCGCUUUGCCGCUGAGCUAAAUCCCCAGCCCCUGUGGCCGUAAGUUUUAUUGGCAGAGAAGCAUAAACUUGGUGGGAUAAGUUUGGAAUUACGUCUUUUGUUAUUUUUUAGAAAAGUUUUAGAUCAGUAAUAUAAAAAUGAAGAUUAAGUUUUUAACACAUAUGAGAUUGGAAUGCAUGUUUAGCAUGUAUAAAGCCCUGGGUUGAAUUUUCAGCUAAAUAAAAUAUUUAAAAUGUUAUAUAGUUUAGUAUAUUAAUUUAUAUUUAUAUAUAAAUUAUAUAUUAACAAAUAUAUUUAUAUAUUAAUAACAUUAGUGUAGCUUAUAUUUUUGUAUAUUUAAAGUAUGCGUUUUUGAGGUUAAAUUACACUUUCAGAAACUAUAUGGUCUAGAGAAAAGAGCCACAACCUAAAAGCAGAAGGUUCUUCUGUCUCCACCACCACUUUUUUUUAUUUUGGCGGCAGGGGGUGCCGGGACUCAAACUCAGGACCUUGUGUGCCAGGCAGGCGCUGCGCCACCGAGCUGCAUCCCCAGCCCCUCCACCACCACUUCUUAACUAGCUGCACGAGAGCCAGGAAAAGCUACUUCACCUCCUUGAGCCAGAGCUUCAUUAUCUGUAAAAUGAGCCUUACAUUUUCCCCACCUACCUCACAGGGUUGUUGUGAGGAUCCAGUGAAAUCAUGUACAUAAAAAAGACUAAUAAAAUGUGUGAUACGGACAUUA